GACGAACGCUGGCGGCGUGCUUAACACAUGCAAGUCGAACGGUGAACCUCUUCGGUGGGGGUCAGUUGCGGACGGGUGCGUGACACGUGCGCAACCUGAACCCGGCUCUGGGAUAGCGCCAAGUACAUGGGGCUAAUGCCGGAUGUUCACCGCUUCUCGCAUGGGUGGUGGUGAAAAGGAUUUCCGGUUGGGGAUGGGCCCGCGGCCUAUCAGCUUGUUGGUGGGGUAGUGGCGUACCAAGGCGACGACGGGUAGCCGGCCUGAGAGGGUGACCGGCCACACUGGGACUGAGACACGGCCCAGACUCCUACGGGAGGCAGCAGUGGGGAAUAUUGCGCAAUGGGCGGAAGCCUGACGCAGCGACGCCGCGUGGGGGAUGACGGCCUUCGGGUUGUAAACCGCUUUCGGCAGGGACGAAGCGUAAGUGACGGUACCGGCUGAAGAAGCACCGGCUAACUACGUG
RNAcentral lists this ribosomal RNA (463 nucleotides) under uncultured bacterium. RNAcentral describes it as "partial 16S ribosomal RNA". It matches the Rfam family "Bacterial small subunit ribosomal RNA", at positions 28 to 507 of the family's 1533-position model. The record is from RNAcentral.